CCUACGGGAGGCAGCAGUGAGGAAUAUUGGACAAUGGGCGCAAGCCUGAUCCAGCCAUGCCGCGUGCAGGAAGAAGCAUCUAUGGUGUGUAAACUGCUUUUGUACAGGAAAAAACACUCCCUCGUGAGGGAGCUUGACGGUACUGUAAGAAUAAGGAUCGGCUAACUCCGUGCCAGCAGCCGCGGUAAUACGGAGGAUCCAAGCGUUAUCCGGAAUCAUUGGGUUUAAAGGGUCCGUAGGCGGUUUGAUAAGUCAGUGGUGAAAGCCCAUCGCUCAACGAUGGAACGGCCAUUGAUACUGUCAGACUUGAAUUACUAGGAAGUAACUAGAAUAUGUAGUGUAGCGGUGAAAUGCUUAGAUAUUACAUGGAAUACCAAUUGCGAAGGCAGGUUACUACUAGUGGAUUGACGCUGAUGGACGAAAGCGUGGGGAGCGAACAGGAUUAGAUACCCUGGUAGUCCACGCCGUAAACGAUGGAUACUAGCUGUUGGGUGCAAACUCAGUGGCUAAGCGAAAGUGAUAAGUAUCCCACCUGGGGAGUACGUUCGCAAGAAUGAAACUCAAAUGAAUUGACGG
RNAcentral lists this ribosomal RNA (576 nucleotides) under uncultured bacterium. RNAcentral describes it as "bacterial SSU rRNA". It matches the Rfam family "Bacterial small subunit ribosomal RNA", at positions 338 to 916 of the family's 1533-position model. The record is from RNAcentral.